GACGAACGCUGGCGGCAUGCUUUACACAUGCAAGUCGGACGAGUGGCGAACGGGUGAGUAAUAUAUUGGAAAGUACCGAGUAAAGGGGGAUAACCAAUCGAAAGAUUGGCUAAUACCGCAUAUUAUUCGAGCGGCCCAUAUCGGAUUAGCUAUUGUGGGGGGUAAAGGCCUACCAAGGCGACGAUCAGUAGCGGGGCUGAGAGGAUGAUCCGCCCCACUGGAACCGAGACACGGCCCAGACUCCUACGGGAGGCAGCAGUGGGGAAGUUUGGACAAUGGGCGCAAGCCUGAUCCAGCCAUGCCGCGUGUCUGAAGAAGGCCUUCGGGUUGUAAAGGACUUUUGUUAGGGAAGCGGUACCUAAAGAAUAAGCACCGGCUAACUACGUGCCAGCAGCCGCGGUAAUAC
RNAcentral lists this ribosomal RNA (406 nucleotides) under uncultured bacterium. RNAcentral describes it as "partial 16S ribosomal RNA". It matches the Rfam family "Bacterial small subunit ribosomal RNA", at positions 28 to 526 of the family's 1533-position model. The record is from RNAcentral.